GGAACGGGGAAGUCAUGCUGGUUGUUUACUAGCUCAUAUGAAUUGAUAUGCGUAUCCAAUGAUGGAUUAUACUACAAUGUCUAGGAUUCACAUAUUCCUAGAUUUCUCUUCUAGUGCCACGUCUAGGGGCCUAGCUUACUUUAGGAGUGCCAAUAUGAUUGUAUUUGCCUAUAUGAUUGUAUUUGCCUAUAUUCUGGAGCACUCAAUGCUAUUCUUUUUCCGACAUUCGAAAGGGCGAACUCAACUAGUAGUGAAGUGUUAGGUUACUCUCCUAUAUAGUUGAAGUUAUAGAUUAGUUAAGUUAUAGGCUAGUUAAGUUAUUGACUAGUUGAAGUUAUAGAUUAGUUAAGUUAUAGGCUAGUUAAGUUAUUGACUAGUGAAAGUGUUAGGUUACUCUCUAGAAUAUUUAUUGACUAGUGAAAGUGUUAGGUUAUUCUCUCUAAUAUUAGUUGUCUAGUUGUCUAUGAGGUUCCUCAAUUUCAUGAUUUUGCUUGUUUGUUUUUGGGUGCUUUAGAUAAGUAGUCAUAUGUAAGUUCUUUGAUAAGAGGUAUGGGUUUACUUUCUUUCUUUGAUUCUUUGUUUACUGAGCACUGGCUUACGUGAGUGACGACGUUGCGCUCGAAGUCAAGCCCCUUACCCAUAUUGCAAGUCUAAAGUGGAGUAGCCUGUUGAGUAUCUGGUUGUUCAACCCCGGGUAAAGAAGCAAUGCCGUGAGUUUAGAGUAAACAGUGAGUUUCGCUGUAAGCUGUUGGUUACUUUCUUCCAUUAGUGGUGCAAUAGAGAUUCCAUUAAAGGUUCACUGAGCACUGGCCCAACUGUCCCUACUGAUUGAUAAGUUAAUGCUUGACUUUGUAGCCUGUUGAUUGACUUUGUAGCCUGUUGAGUAUAGAAAAGAAAGGGUGCCUAUGCAUUUGUGCUUUAAGUGGGCUCUGCUCCGCCUUUGUCCUGUUCCUUGGCUGAACCCUAUGCCUUUGUUCGUAGGCCUUUGUCCUUUAAGUAGUAAGUAGCUCUGCCUUUGUCCUCAAUAGCAGAUAGGGUUCGGCACUGAACCAACAUAAGAGAAUUGAGCGUUCCACUGAUAGUAUAGCAGUAACCCUCACACUGCUGACAGCAUUGCUUUCUUACUCACUUAUUACUCUCGGGAACCCCUGAAUCUAUUUCUUUUCUUUCUUGGAUUUUGCGAGAGUGCACAACGGAUAGUAACAAGACUGCGAAACUAAUUUCACUGAACAGAAAAGAAUCUAGCUGAACUUAUAUUGAGGAGAAGAACGUAAACAACACUUCAUUGCUUUCCUUUGGCUUCCUUUCUUCCAAAGCUAAUGUUAGUACUUAGGCUUGCUUUAGAUCUCCCUGCUUCUUGUUCUAGCAAACUCACUAAUGCAAAAGUCAUGCAAAAGAAGAUAAUGGAAUUCACCCUAAAAGUACUAAGGUAAAGAGUGGAAAUGAUAGAUGACAUAAGCAGAGGAAAGAGCUGGAUCAGUGUUAUUAUAGCAUUUGAGUAAGUUGAGUAUAGGAAAGGUGCUUGGCCUUCUUCAUCACAUUGUGGUCCAAAGACAAAGGUCUCUGUUAAGGGAGUUAGUCGCGGAUGAAAACGAAGUAUUUGUAAGGGUGUUAAGGGAGUUGCCUCAGUAUUUGCAAGGGUGUUAAGAGAGUAGC
RNAcentral lists this long non-coding RNA (1656 nucleotides) under Musa acuminata (dwarf banana). Its description in RNAcentral is "long non-coding RNA (MACU_LNC010976)". The record is from RNAcentral. Lineage: Eukaryota; Viridiplantae; Streptophyta; Magnoliopsida; Zingiberales; Musaceae.